UUAUCUCAAAGACCGUUUCCACCAAUCAGGGGCAACUGAAACUAGAGGAUAAAAUACUUAGCUCUGGAGAAUUAACGAGAAUGACAGGCGAAAAGCUUAUUUCCGCCACGUUCCUAACAGUUUUCUUGAGGAUACGCCCUUUUCCAUCGUCUCCUGUUUGGGAUCAUGAAUAAACGAGCCCCGUCUUACGGAAGGAAGAGAGCAUCUGC
Pantherophis guttatus is the source of this 209-nucleotide long non-coding RNA. RefSeq lists it as uncharacterized. The record is from RefSeq and is a predicted model, not a curated record. Lineage: Eukaryota; Metazoa; Chordata; Lepidosauria; Squamata; Colubridae.